Molecule: transfer RNA, 58 nt
Filed under: Marmota marmota marmota (Alpine marmot)
Lineage: Eukaryota; Metazoa; Chordata; Mammalia; Rodentia; Sciuridae
Also listed under: 2 other names
Rfam family: tRNA
About the family: Transfer RNA (tRNA) molecules are approximately 80 nucleotides in length. Their secondary structure includes four short double-helical elements and three loops (D, anti-codon, and T loops).
Source: Rfam by way of RNAcentral
UAGCUCAGUUGGUAGAGUGCUUGCCUUGCAUGCAUAAGGCUCUGGGUUCUAUUCCCAG